Molecule: long non-coding RNA, 766 nt
Organism: Saccostrea cuccullata (small rock oyster)
Lineage: Eukaryota; Metazoa; Mollusca; Bivalvia; Ostreida; Ostreidae
Exons: 4
Source: RefSeq, a predicted model, not a curated record
UCACGCAGUACAGUUAAGGCAACACAUGAAAAAAAUAUGGUAAUGAGGUCAUAAUGAGGUCUGACGUCAUGACAGUUGCUCCGCCCUGAUUGAUCCAUAUAAGGAAAUAGAGCUCAAAAUAAGUAUUUACCGAUGUUUGCAAGAAUCUGUAAUAAACGACAAUAUUUUCAUGUUUAAAUAGAAAAUAAUUAGUGAUUUUCUCGUAUAUUAAACAGCAUGUCUUUAAAAUAAUUCUCUUUUUUAUGUGUCGUUUGGCUGCAUUCGGCUUCAGCCAAGCGCUUGCACUCGAUGACACGGAAUGUUGUUUACAUCUUAAAACGUGGCGACAUCAGCUGAGAUUUGCAGUGGUUUUACAUGCAUUAACCAGACAAUCUUUAAAGAAAAUAGGGAUAAAAUAAGAGACAAGGCAUUGUUUACCCCUUUUACGAGAAUAUGAGGACAAAAUUGCGGAAAAUAAUGGAAAACUGAGACGGUCUGCACCAGCUCCGUAGAUCCAUCACUGUAAUUUCAGGCCAGCUGUCAAGAGUUUUCAGGCUUAAAGAAUGAAUAAAUAAAAAAUGCAUCAAUUUCUCCAUAGGGCCUAGUCAUUCCCCCAAAAAUUGGAACAAUGGAUUCAUUCAAGCAGCAAGUUUAAGGAAAAUGAAUCCAUUUUGUCCACAUGAACAUGAAGUGAUGGAAAUAAUUUGCACCUGCCCAGUUUUCCUACAGUCUGUCUUUGGAUUUGGAAAAAAAUGUUUAUUAAAAAAAUUUUCUAGAUAAAUAAUAA